GAUCCAAUUAGCUUGAGAAAAACGUUCACUCUUGCUUAUGUGAAGCUUGGGUAAGGUUGUGAAUAAAUAAUUGGAGCUUGAAAUUGUGAAUACUGGAACUUGGAGGAAGCGGAUUAGUUGAGGUUUUGAGGGUUGUGUUCUUUUAGAAAAUUUGUCUUGGAAUAAUACUUGGGAAUCGGCUAAGAUGCAGGUCGAGAGACAUUUUGUUAGGCAUUUGG
Arachis ipaensis is the source of this 218-nucleotide non-coding RNA. The record is from RefSeq and is a predicted model, not a curated record. NCBI's taxonomy places the organism in Eukaryota, Viridiplantae, Streptophyta, Magnoliopsida, Fabales, Fabaceae.